CCUUUGCUUACCUCGGGAUGAAGUAAAAAUAGUUUUUUUUCUGAGAAUAGGCCCUUCCAAGGUUAAGGAUGCCAUCUUGAAUAUAUUGUUUUCACCAUUGUGUUUGUACCACCUCCCCUAUAGGGAAUUCCAUUGUGUUUGCACCCCUUGUACUAUUGUUUCAUUAUGGCAUUGUCAACCUUGGAAGGGUCUAUUGCUUUCAGUUAUGAAGGCUUAACACCAUAUACUGAG
This is a non-coding RNA of Paramuricea clavata, 231 nucleotides long. NCBI's taxonomy places the organism in Eukaryota, Metazoa, Cnidaria, Anthozoa, Malacalcyonacea, Plexauridae. The record is from the annotation of a GenBank genome assembly.